Molecule: ribosomal RNA, 547 nt
Filed under: Rothia sp. (in: high G+C Gram-positive bacteria)
Lineage: Bacteria; Bacillati; Actinomycetota; Actinomycetes; Micrococcales; Micrococcaceae
Description: Rothia sp. (human oral metagenome) partial 23S ribosomal RNA
Rfam family: Bacterial large subunit ribosomal RNA
Source: RNAcentral
GUAGAGCACUGUAUGGCCUAGGGGGCGUAUAGCUUACCGAAGUCAAGCAAACUGCGAAUACCGUAUAUUGUUUACCGGGAGUGAGUCUAUGGAUGACAAGGUCCGUGGACGAGAGGGGAACAGCCCGGACCGCCGGCUAAGGUCCCAAAUCAUGUCUAAGUGGGAAAGGAGGUGGAUAUUCACAGACAACCAGGAGGUUGGCUUAGAAGCAGCCAUACCUUGAAAGAGUGCGUAANNNNNNNNNNUUUAAGCUAAUUGGUAGGAGAGCGUUCUGUAGGCCGAAGAAGGUAUGUUGGAAGGCAUAUUGGAGGUAUCAGAAGUGAGAAUGCAGGAAUGAGUAGCGAGAAGGAGGGUGAGAAUCCCUCCGGCCGGAAGUCCAAGGUUUCCAGGGGAAGGUUUGUCCGCCCUGGGGGAGUCGGGACCUAAGCAUAAGCAGAGCUGCGAAGGCGAAUGGAAAACAGGUUAAUAUUCCUGUACCGCUGUGUACUGUCUGAGAGAUGGAGUGACGCAGGAAGGUAUGCGGGAAGGCUGACGGAAUAGCCUUUCU